AACCAGCAACGCCGCGUGUGCGAUGAAGGCCUUCGGGUCGUAAAGCACUUUUUGCAGGGACGAGGAAGGACGGUACCUGCAGAAUAAGUCUCGGCUAACUACGUGCCAGCAGCCGCGGUAAAA
Molecule: ribosomal RNA, 123 nt
Filed under: uncultured bacterium
Lineage: Bacteria
Description: partial 16S ribosomal RNA
Rfam family: Bacterial small subunit ribosomal RNA
Source: RNAcentral